CAGCAGCCGCGGUAAUACGUAGGGUGCGAGCGUUAAUCGGAAUUACUGGGCGUAAAGCGUGCGCAGGCGGUUCGUUAAGACAGAUGUGAAAUCCCCGGGCUUAACCUGGGAACUGCAUUUGUGACUGGCGAGCUAGAGUAUGGCAGAGGGGGGUAGAAUUCCACGUGUAGCAGUGAAAUGCGUAGAGAUGUGGAGGAAUACCGAUGGCGAAGGCAGCCCCCUGGGCCAAUACUGACGCUCAUGCACGAAAGCUAGGGGAGCAAACAGGAUUAGAUACCCCAGUAGUCCCUGUCUCUUAUAC
This 301-nucleotide ribosomal RNA is filed under the name uncultured bacterium. RNAcentral's name for it is "partial 16S ribosomal RNA". It matches the Rfam family "Bacterial small subunit ribosomal RNA", at positions 509 to 807 of the family's 1533-position model. The record is from RNAcentral.